RNAcentral lists this ribosomal RNA (253 nucleotides) under uncultured bacterium. RNAcentral's name for it is "partial 16S ribosomal RNA". It matches the Rfam family "Bacterial small subunit ribosomal RNA", at positions 524 to 776 of the family's 1533-position model. The record is from RNAcentral.
UACGUAGGGUGCGAGCGUUAAUCGGAAUUACUGGGCGUAAAGCGUGCGUAGGCGGUUCGCUGUGUCCGAUGUGAAAGCCCCGGGCUUAACCUGGGAAUGGCAUUGGAAACUAGCGGGCUUGAGUUCGGGAGAGGGAAGCGGAAUUCCGGGUGUAGCGGUGAAAUGCGUAGAUAUCCGGAGGAACACCGGUGGCGAAGGCGGCUUCCUGGACCGACACUGACGCUGAGGCGCGAAAGCUAGGGGAGCAAACGGG